UCCUGGCUCAGGAUGAAUGUUGGCGGCAGGCUAAGAUAUGCAAGUCGAGCGAUGAAGGUUUUGUAGCAAUACAAAAUUGGAUUAGCGGCGGACGGCUGAGUAACGCGUAGGAAUCUCCUCUAAGUGGAGCAUAGCCAGUUGAAAGAUUGGGUAAUUCUCCAUGUGACCGUAAGGUUAAAGAAGCAAUUCGCUUAGAGCGGAGCCUGCGUCCCAUCAGCUUGUUGGUAGGGUAAUGGCCUACCAAGGCGGAGACGGGUAGCUGGUCUGAGAGGACGAUCAGCCAGACUGGGACUGCGACACGGCUCAGACAUCUACGGAUGGCAGCAAUUAGGAAUCUUCGGCAAUGGGCGAAAGCCUGACCGAGCCAUGCCGCGUGCAGGACGACGGCCUUCGGGUUGUAAACUGCUGUGGUAGUCUACUAAUUUUGAAGAGACUACUAGAAAGAGGUUGCUAACUCUGUGCCAGCAGCAGCGGUGAUACAGAGACCUCAAACAUUAUCCGGAAUUAUUGGGCGUAAAGCGUGCCGAUCGGCUGUUUGGUGUGUCUAGGGUGAAAGACCGGAGCUUAACUCCGUGUUUGCUCUAGAAACUACCAAACUUGAAGGGCAAAGGGGUGGCUGGAACUCUGCAAGUACCGGUGGAAUGGGUUGAUAUGCAGGGGAACACCGAAAGCGAAGGCAGGCCACUGGGUGCCACUUGACGCUGCUAGGACGAAAGCGUGGGGAGCGAAGCGGAUUAGAUACCCGCGUAGUCCACGCCCUAAACGAUGAGUGCUUGCUUUUAGGAGGAGUCAAUCCCUCUUGGAGGCGCAGCUAACGCAGUAAGCACUCCGCCUGUAGAGUACGAGCGCAAGCUUUAAACAUAAAGGACUUGACGGGAACCCGCACAAGCGGUGGAUCAUGCGGCUUAAUUCGUUAAUAAGCGGCGAACCUCACCUAGACUUGACAUACUACUGCAAAUCCAGGGAAACUUGGACUCAUUCGAGGGAGUAGUACAGGUGAUGCACGCUCGUCGUCAGCUAGUGUCGUGAGAUGAUCGGUUAAGUACGGUAACGAGCGCAACCCCCAUCCUUAGUUAGUUAAUGUAUAAGGAGACUGCCCGCGUUUAAUCGGGAGGAAGGCUGGGAUGACGUCAGAUCAGCGUGUCCCUCACGUCUAGGGCGGCACGCAUGAUACAAUGGGUAAGGUACAACGGGACUGCCAAGAGGUGACUCGGAGCAAAUCCUAUAAAGCCUCCCUCAGUACGGAUCGAAGUCUGCAACUCGACUUCGUGAAGCUGGAAUCGCUAGUAAUCGCGGAUCAGCCAUGCCGCGGUGAUACGUUCUCGGGUUUUGUACACACCGCCCGUCACGGCAUGGGAAUUGG
RNAcentral lists this ribosomal RNA (1363 nucleotides) under uncultured organism. RNAcentral's name for it is "bacterial SSU rRNA". It matches the Rfam family "Bacterial small subunit ribosomal RNA". The record is from RNAcentral.